CUAAAGUUUUAAGUUUGAAAGAUGCAAUUGCAUCACUCAAAGAUGAUCCCGCGCUGAUUAGCUUGUUGCGGGGUAACGGCCCACCAAGGCGACGAUCAGUAGCCGACCUGAGAGGGUGAUCGGCCACAUUGGAACUGAGACACGGUCCAAACUCCUACGGGAGGCAGCAGUGGGGAAUAUUGCACAAUGGGCGCAAGCCUGAUGCAGCAACGCCGCGUGAGCGAUGAAGGCCUUCGGGUCGUAAAGCUCUGUCCUCAAGGAAGAUAAUGACGGUACUUGAGGAGGAAGCCCCGGCUAACUACGUGCCAGCAGCCGCGGUAAUACGUAGGGGGCUAGCGUUAUCCGGAUUUACUGGGCGUAAAGGGUGCGUAGGCGGUCUUUCAAGUCAGGAGUUAAAGGCUACGGCUCAACCGUAGUAAGCUCCUGAUACUGUCUGACUUGAGUGCAGGAGAGGAAAGCGGAAUUCCCAGUGUAGCGGUGAAAUGCGUAGAUAUUGGGAGGAACACCAGUAGCGAAGGCGUCGACGCGGCCG
RNAcentral lists this ribosomal RNA (532 nucleotides) under uncultured bacterium. RNAcentral describes it as "bacterial SSU rRNA". It matches the Rfam family "Bacterial small subunit ribosomal RNA", at positions 187 to 735 of the family's 1533-position model. The record is from RNAcentral.